UACGGAGGAUCCAAGCGUUAUCCGGAUUUACUGGGUGUAAAGGGAGCGUAGACGGCCAUGCAAGUCUGAUGUGAAAACCCGGGGCUCAACCCCGGGACUGCAUUGGAAACUGUGCGGCUGGAGUGCCGGAGAGGUAAGUGGAAUUCCUAGUGUAGCGGUGAAAUGCGUAGAUAUUAGGAGGAACACCAGUGGCGAAGGCGGCUUACUGGACGGUAACUGACGCUGAGGCUCGAAAGCGUGGGGAGCAAACAGG
Molecule: ribosomal RNA, 253 nt
Filed under: uncultured Eubacteriales bacterium
Lineage: Bacteria; Bacillati; Bacillota; Clostridia; Eubacteriales
Description: uncultured Clostridiales bacterium partial 16S ribosomal RNA
Rfam family: Bacterial small subunit ribosomal RNA
Source: RNAcentral